This 3812-nucleotide long non-coding RNA is filed under the name Nicotiana tabacum (common tobacco). RNAcentral describes it as "long non-coding RNA (NTAB_LNC018810)". The record is from RNAcentral. Lineage: Eukaryota; Viridiplantae; Streptophyta; Magnoliopsida; Solanales; Solanaceae.
UUUAGGGUAGUGUACCUGGUAUUAGAAUACAAGAAUAAGAAGAUCAGCAGAGUAGUAUGUAACCCAGCAACAACAAUAACAACCAGCAACAACCAGUAAACAGAAUGCCCAGUGACAGAUUUUAAAACCAACAGGAUCCCAGCACACUCAAUGAAACAGUACCAAUACAAAACAAUGCAGACCAGAAAUAACAACUCAAGAAACCACUUAAAACCUCAGUGAAAUCCCAGAAAUACCCAGCAAUCAGAACAGAACCAGAAUGUAUUUAGAAGUGCAAAAGAUGCAAGGAAACAGUCCUGAUUUUUUUUAACACUCAAAAUAGAACACUCUCAAACAAACUCUCAAACUACUGGUCUCAGGACAAAGACAACCUGUUUUCACUCUCUAAAAACUGAACUCUUUUUUGAUUUUAAGAUCAGCCUGUUCUUUGUUCUUUAAUUCUGAAUUCUUAGUGUCAAAACUCCAGCCUAACCUUACUCUAUAACUCUGACCUUUUUCAGAUUCCAAAAGCCCCUAUCCUCUGUAAAAACUUCGACCCUAAAUCUGUCCUAAGUGACUCUAUUUAUAACCAAACAUUGACCUUGCCCCUCAACUUUCAAAAGCACUUUGGGCAGAAUUUUCCCACUAAUUCUGCCCAUCAUCUCCUUUUAAUUCCACUAGUAUAUGUUUUGUUCUCCACUACACUUGUCUUUUCUUUAUUUAAAUUCAAAUAGGUAUGGGCACCUAUUUCUUAAUCCAUUUUCUUUAAACCUUUCCCCCACCAUUAUGUCUUGUUCCCCAUUAACACUAAAUAAUUGUAUUAGUUUAAUGGUAUUUUAGUACCCUACUGUCAGCCCACAUAAACUAGCCAAUUUCUGAACUUUUUAAUCCCCAAAAUACCCCAUUAACCCCUAUGUAUUACUGCCAUGCCCUAAACUUCAAUCGAUCUGUUUUCUAAGUUACAAACCUAACAACUGAUUUUUCACUGAUCACUAAAGUACUACAGCUAUAACCAAUUCACAAUCAAAUUCAAACAAUGAUUCAAUCAGAAUUGAAGCAAUACAAAUCACAUUGUUAUCAUGUUAUUUAAUCAGAAUUGAAGCAUGUAAAACACAUACAAUCAAUAGCAAAUAAGAAUCGAACAGGCACACAGGUGAUUCGAAUCGUAUUGAUAGAAAACAGGGAUUCAUAACUAAACUUAACUAAUCGACGACACUCAUUCAAUCGAUUAUAUAGUUUUAUCACAUUCAUUAACCAUGACCAGAAAAAGUUCGACCAAAUGAAGGGUCAUUGAAGACGGACAGAAUCAAUCGACAAAAGAAAAUGAAAAGUCAAUAAAACUAAACUAAAGUAAACAGAAUAAACAAACACAAAAAUGGAGCAAACAGGAAAGGGGAAAAUACCUCAAGAACUCGGGACCUGGACGACCCUGAUUCAAACUCAAAUUCGAACUGUUUGAGGUCGAACGGACCUUAAUCGAGUGUUCUCAACUGAGAACACUUCAACUAAGGUCAGUUAAACACCCAAAUUCCCUUAAACUUCAGACAGAAACCAGUUUUGAUUUUCUAGGGUUCUUACGUUUCGAUUUCGGGUUCGAGUGUUUCUAUCCAGAUUUGAUUCAAAUCAAAGGUGGUUUGGGUACGAGGGAGGUCAUGGGGUGCCAGAGUGUGAAUUUGGGCUUGGUUGGGGUAGGUUCGAGUUCUGCUCGAAUCUUCGAUUAAAGAUUCGUGAAGUUGGAGGUUGAUUCGAGGCAAACAGUUAACAUAUCCAUAACGAGGGUGGUUAGGGGGUGCCUUGGUGUGAGUUUGGGACUGGUUGGGGUGGGUUUCAAGUUUGCUCGAAUCUUCGAUUGAAGAUUCGAGAAGCUACAAUAUGAUUCGAGCAAAACGAUUAAGGGAUUCGUGGAGAGGGUGGUUAAGAGCUCUAGGGGUGUUAGUUUCAUGGUCAUCGGCGUUGUUGCCGCCAACUUUCAGGCGAAGGGGUUUCAGGGCGGCUAGGGUUUGGAGGGUUGUUUGGUUUGUCUCUGACGGAAACGAUGAAUAUGGGUGUGGCUUAGGGAGGGGUGUGAGGUGAAGGGUUGAAUUUAUAUACGGAGGGGGUGGUUUAAUCCUGGCCGUUGGAUCAAGCACGAUCAACGACCUGGAUCAAUUCACUUAACAGACACGACGUCGUUUGGAGUAGUGCUGGGGCGGUUUGAACCGGGGAACGGGUCGGGCCAGGGAAUGGGUAAGGGACAUUGAUCUGUGGCCGUUGGAUAUGACUUGAUUGAAUGGCUGAGAUUUUUGCCAUUGAGACGACGUAGCUUGGUACCUAUACUACGUCGUUUCAACAUCCUGUGAGAGGAGCUGCCUGGACCGGGCUUGGGGUGAAAUUUGGGCCUGAUCUUUUGGUGCAAAAUAAUGGCCCAAACCGAUUUCACUCUUUUCUUUUUCCUUUUCAUUUCCUUUUAAUUCCUAAAACCAAAAAUUCCUAAAUUAAAUUGUAAAACCAAGAUUAUUUAAAAAUAUAUUAAUUAACCCUUAACAACAAUUAGCACAAGAUCAAACAAAAAUAAAAUCGCACAAUUAAACAAUAAAAAUGACAAAGCUACCAAAAUUCAUAUUUUUGUGAUUUUCAUUCUUUAAAAUAGGACAUGGUUUAAUUAAUUCCAAAAUGCGUAAUUAAAUCCUAAAUGCACAUGCAACACAUAUUUUUUGUAUUUUUCUCAUUUAAAGUAGAAACAAACAUGCGCAGACAAAAAUACAAAUAAUCACAAACAACACAAAACCAUUUUGUUUUUUUUUGAAUUUUUGGGAGUAGUUCUCAUAGGGUAAAAAUCACGUGCUCACAAACGUGUACACAAUCACAAUGAUAAAUUUAAAAUGCGUCUAAAGCGUACUAAUCAUAUUCAUAAUUCUUCCUAAACUUUGAGAUUAUUGAGAUGCCAAAUUUAUGAACAAGAUAUUAUUGGGGAACAAAUAGGCUAGCUAACAUGAUCUAUUACUUGGCCAGAUUUCUUAUGGUCGAAGGCCUACCUUAUGGCCCAUUCUUAUUCCUUGCCAAGAAAGAAACAACUCUAAUUUUUUCACUACCCAAUUAAAAGCAAUUAUUCAAGAACCAAGACUACAUAUAUCAUAAUCGAAAUAAAACUAAUUAAAACAAUUUAAAUGAAAACUAAGAUAUACUACUCAACAACGUAGAAUCACAAAUCAACCAACACACGCACCAAGCUAUCAUAACACAAUAAAAUAAGAGUGAAAAUUGAGAAAUUGGCCUUUUAUUGAUGAACAAACUGAAAAUUGCAAAUCAAUCGGGCUAAACAAAGCAACAAUCCUUGAACCGAAACACCGUAAUUAACAAUCCAAAACCUCGAAUCGACACCAGAAAGCUCAAAACCCGUACGCGACCUCAAUUAAAACUCACCUUCGGAAAAAGAAACAAAACAGAAUGUACAAGGAGGAAAAAUUUCCCAUUUUUUCUGUCCAAAUAUCUCUGAUUUCGUCCGUAUCCUCUAAUCCCAUAUUUCCAUUUUCCCAUCUCCUUCAUUUCCCUUUUCUGUUCGUGUGUUCCUUUCAGUUAGGUAGUGUCCAUUCCAUUAUUUGUAGUUUCUAAUUCCCUUCAAUUUUGGUCACUUUUUGUUGCUUUAUGUGUGUAUAUCUUCUUUGGUGGGGUGAGGUGAAACUGACGGGAUCGAAAGGGAUUUAGACCUGGUUCUCUUGAAUUGGAAUGAAGUCUCAUUUUUGAUCAUGAGGGAGUGAGAUCUGGAGAUUUCUAGGGGUCCAUGAAUUACGGCUAUCAGGCCUUUUCUAUGGGGGGGGGGGGGGAUCUUUUAUAGCUUAGUGUCUAGGUCUAGG